RNAcentral lists this ribosomal RNA (402 nucleotides) under Triticum aestivum (bread wheat). Its description in RNAcentral is "partial small subunit ribosomal RNA". The record is from RNAcentral. Lineage: Eukaryota; Viridiplantae; Streptophyta; Magnoliopsida; Poales; Poaceae.
CACGUAACUGGAAUUACCAACAAACAUCACAAUCAAGUUGAUUGUUUCAAUGAUGUUUUUGAUUGGCUAGUUCAAGAGCUUGACAAUCGGUUCAGUGAGACAUCCACUAAUUUGCUUGUUUGGUCAGCGGCUUUGAGUCCAAGAGACUCAUCUCGUGAUUUUAAUUUGGAGAAUUUUAAGAGUUUGGCUAAACUAUACCCUCAAGAUUUUGAUUAUGGGGAAUUGAGGGAUCUGGAUAAGGAUAUAUGCCUCUAUAUUGCUGAUGUACACAUAUAUGAUAGUUUUUCCAACAUAGCAACAAUCACCGAGCUUUCAAAAAAAAAUGGUGCACACAGGGAGGCACAUUGUCUAUCCUUUGUUGAAACUAGUAAUUGUCUUGCCUAUUGCCACUGCUACAGUUGA